Molecule: long non-coding RNA, 4388 nt
Organism: Cavia porcellus (domestic guinea pig)
Lineage: Eukaryota; Metazoa; Chordata; Mammalia; Rodentia; Caviidae
Exons: 2
Source: RefSeq, a predicted model, not a curated record
AAACCACACUAGAGUCUCCACUUUCUCACCCUGAGAGGAGGAAGAAAGGAAGUUUUCUUCCAAAGAAGACUCAGUAAUAACAUGAGCAAUAGCACUGCUAGCUAAUGCAUGCUAAUAAUCUACUUUCUAUAUUUUUCUUUUAAUUCUCACCAAGAGCAAACAAAUACACAAAAUACCUUGCAAGGCUUCUCCCUCAAUUCCCCCCACUCGCCUGGUGUAAAGGUCCAUCACUGCCGCUUUCCCUCUGGGCUCACCAGAUCUCUGUCCCUCUUUCACAGACAUCUGGGCCUCCACUAGUGGUUCAGCUGCUCAUGGUUUUUGCUUCUCUGGAAAGUGGGGACAAACACAAGGGCGACCAUGUGGCUGUAACCUCUCGACACAUGGCCUUCAAAAAGAUUACGGAACUUGUUCGAGCAGCUGUGAGGGAGCCGUGAUUGGAGCCCAAGGGCAGUUUCCUCCGAAGCUCCCACUCUUUCUAGAAAGUCUCUGUUCAUCUCAUUGCCUACUGCUUCUUAUUUGCCUUACUCAAUUAUCUCCUCGAAGGCACCAUGAAGUUUUAACCCCCUAGCUUCUUUCCCCUGUUCUACAGGGUGUCCCCUCUGGCUGAUGCGCACACCCGGCCUCGGAGACCCUGACUUCAGUUCUGGAUUCUUGCUCAAGCUUCUUGACCUUCCAGACCUUCUUCCCUUAACCAGCACUGUAACAGUCCACUUCCUUGCCUUCCCAUCCUCUGUCAGCCCCUCUGUGGUAUCAGACCGUCCUUACUGCCUUGGGCCUCUGCUGUAGUCAGGGGAGUAUCUUGAGAGUGGGGGCUGAGUUCUACUGUCACAGAUCUUCUAAACCCAUGCACAGUACCUGCUGUUACCGAGUAUUCCAAAGGUUUUUUUUAAAGUGCUAAACGCUUUGCCUAAGUGAUCAUAUCCAACUUGCCUAAUAACUCUCGAUGACUUUACUUCCCUCUUUUGCCAAACAAAGAAAUUAAAGGAAGAAAGUGGUGGCAGCUGCAGAAUUUUAGUCACUGAGAGAGGAUUAGUCAGGUUGGCUGGAGUAUCAGAGGAUUUCAUCCUGAAGUUGAGGUUCACUGCACCCUGUUUUUACCUUACUUUGUACAUUUUGAAGAAAUUAGACCAGUUGUAAGGCUUAUUCCUGCUUAUUGGCCACGCCUCGGUUCCACUUCUAGAGGGACAUUAGGUUCCUUGUCCAAGAUGGCAGAGCUGCAAUGUAGCAGAGUCAGGCCUUGGACGAUGGAUACUUGCUGGAGGUCACUUAAGAUAGUGACCUGGGUAGGUAAAUAGCAAGUUAGAGGUUAUUUGGUUCCAGGCCACUCAUUAGCCAUUAAUAUGGAGUUUACAAGCAGAAACCCAAAGGCCCUCAGUUUUUUUUUUUCUGGCUUCAGGUUGAUAAAGGAAACAGGAGACCGAUGAUGUUGCUCAGCAGCACAAGGGCCUCCCUGGUAAAAAUGGCAGUGCGGAGGAGAAUGGCAGAGAAAAUCUGUACAAUCCACGUCAGCCAGGAAGCAGAGAGGGAAAGAAGGCGUUGAAGAAAAGAAUACACCCUGCAGUGACCCACCAGCCUCUGAACAGCACACUACGACACGAACUCAUCAGUGGAUUAAUCCCCCUCUAAACACGUUUGGAGAACAUUCUAGAUUUAAACUCUAACAGAAGGUGUUAUGGAUUAAGAACUGAUGGUCAAUUUAACACCAGCUGGAUUACAUCAGCAUGGCACUGAGUGAAGAUGUCCACCUGCGGAAAGUUGCCAGCAUAAAUAGAGAGAUAGAGGAGAAGAAAGGCGUUAAUGUGCUAUUGUGUUGAGGUGUUGAGGCAUUGUGGGUUCUCCUUCAUGUUGCUGUUUGAGUCAUUGGUUCUCCUGGAGGAGCUCUGGUCCUCACAUCAAGCAUUGCUUCCUGGUUCCAGAGGGGAAGACAUGUGCUGCUUGGUCUCCAGGAUGAACUACUCACGCUGGUUCCUGGCAUGUAACCGACUGUGCUUGUCGGAGGAGGAGCUCGGGGGCUCCGUGUUGCUGAGGAUGGCUGUGGUGCUUUUCAGGACAGCCCUGGUCUUCAUUAUGAGUGUGGCUUCUUAGCUCCAGCAUAGAAUUCUCAACCUACCAGCACAGCUCAUUCAACCCGCUGGCAUGAACUUUCUGGCUUCCACCGCUGACCUUUGGGCCUUCCCGGCAUGGAUGCCGUAAAAGACACUGGCGUGAGUCCUUCUUGUGCGCUCUGGACCUCUAGUUGGACUCGUGGGAGGCAUUGUCAUGAGCUCUGGGUUUUCAUCUGGACUCAUAUGAGACAUUGCUAUGGGAUUCAAGCUUUUGGCUAAAUAUUCUAUGUCUUUGUUGUUGUGGAUAGAUUUCCUGCAUUUUCUUGUGUUAACUCCUGGUGACCAUUAUAAAAUAAUAUUAUAAACUCUGUGUCCUGAUUCUAAUUGUUUUCUGCACAAUCUCUAACUACAGCAGAAGGCCUGCAUGUCUGUAGCCUUGUAUAUACUAUCACUACUGCCUUUGGAGUGGAGAGAGAGCAGAGCCAUGUGGUAUUGAGAUGGGAAAAGAAAGAGUGGUGACUUCACAGAGAGGAGUUUAACCUGUUCCCUCUUCAUUGAGCUGCCUGUGAAUCCAAAACUCAGUCCUCCUGCUUACUGGGGUGCCUGGAUGUCCUUAGCUAGCUUUUCCUAACCCCACUUGUAAGCUUCUCAAGAGAGCUUCCUCUGGCAAGCAAACUAUUCACAUGAUCCUUGCCCAAUCUUAUGUUCUCAGGGUCCAGUAACUCCCCCUUGCACAUUAAUGGUCUUAUUAAGCUCAAAGAAAGAUGGUCCAUUCGAGAUGUUCUCACUCAAUGGAAUUUAUUCUCUAGGCAACUAUGGACGUAGGAAGAGUUGUGUGUUUGAAUCAAACUCUCUCCAGAGCUAGAAACCCAGCCUGGUAGAUGCUACCCAGUAUAGCAGAGAAACAACAGUAAGCUGCAACUACCUUCCUUAGCCCUGACUUUAACCAGCAGAGUGGAACUCUCAGAGGAGAGGGUGGACAUGGUUGAUAUUGAGAUGGAGAGUUAAGGUACCUGGCAGAGCCAAAAUGUAGCUGGACCAAGGUUCAGAAGCAAUUUGAUGUGGUGGAAAGAAGGCUAAGAUCCAAGGCUUGGGAUACUUAGGCUCCAGCUGGUUCUGCUGUGAUGAAGGAAUUGGUGGCUGAAGGGACAAUUCAUUUGGAACAUUUACUGAGCACCUGUUGCAUGCCAGACAUUGAGCAGACGUGGGGAUACAAAGGAACAAGACCCACCCUCCAUCCUUGAGGGUGCCUGAAGGCUGAACAAGUAAACAAGUUGUUCAGUACCAUGCGAUGAGAGUUUUUGUUCCUACCUCCUGUGACUUAUGGUGACUUCCCUGUUCUCUAUGUCUCUGCUCCUAUGAAAUAGGCCCACACUGUGGCCACAGUGCUGUACUGUGGGACACAACUCUCAGCACUCAUUUCUCUCCAAAUGAGGAAAAGCAGAAAACCCCAGAGCUCUGCUUCCUGGACUCCUUCGGCCCAUAGACAUCUGCCCUGCACAGCCACUGGAAUCUGUCUGCUUGUUUCUUGCUGGAAAUCAGCAUCAGAACAGAGGCUUACAGUAAAGGGUAUGCAGUAGACUCAGGGAGUAUGGUCAUGAGUAGGCAGUGUGGAAAAGGCAUCGAUUCUUCCCAGAACUCAUCUCCUGGCCCAUCCUGGAAAGGUAGACUGGCUGUGAAUUUUCUUCAGCAUUAUGGCCUUCUACCAGAGGUACAUGAGCUCCCAAGGGUCCAGAGAAACCUCACUAGUGGAAUGAAAGGCUGUGGGGAACCCACUGGAACACAGAGCCUUGGACUUGGGGAAAUGCAAGCCGGUUUUGUGACAAGGACAGAUACCUACCACCAUGAUUGUUAGCCUUGCUCCUGUGACUUCCCCAUUGACAUUCACAAUGCCAAGCAGAUUCCACUCCACUGCCACCCCCACCUGGCCUGCUCAUCCCCACUCCUGACACCUGAACAUAGGAAAUGACAGAAUCGUCUUCCCACAGCCCAUGGUCCUCCUAACAACACUGGAUUUCCCUGGAUCCAACUUCAAGGGGCUCUCAGAGCUCCUCUUUGCCAAUACUAGCCACCGUUUCUUAGCACCUGCUCGAAAUGCAGGCACAUUAGAUUCCACUAUGGAAAGUUUGGCCUCCCUUCACCCACCGUCCUCUCCCAAGCCACUUUCCUUGCUGUGUGGUGAGGAAGAAGACCUUCAGGCCCGAUGUAGAGGUUGGAGUGUCGCAGCCAGUGGUCUACUCCAUGGGGUACAAAGGGUGCAUGGAGUUAGGAAGAAAAUAAACUUCUGUUGAUUUUUAAAGGAUCAUUGUAAGCCAGAGGCUUUUGUUAAGAAUAAGGCAUUGA